AACAUUUCUUAUAAUAUCAUUAUAAGUAAAGCCUGCUCAAUGUAUAAUAAAUAGCCGCAGAAUUUUAACUGUGCUAAGGUAGCAUAAUCAUUAGCCUUUUAAUUAAAGACUAGAAUGAAAGGCUAAACACUUCAUUUACUUUUUUACACAAAAUAAUACAAAUUAUACUAAGUAUAAAAAUAUACUUAUAUAUAAACUAGACGACAAGACCCUGUCGAACUUAACUCCUGUUAAGCUGGGGCAGCUAAUUAAUUAAAAUUUUAAUUUAAAUAAAAAUAAAAAAAUCCUAAUAAAAUUGAUCUAUCAAGUUACCGAAGGGAUAACAGCGUAAUAAAUUUUUUAAGCUCUUAUUUUAAAAAAAGAUUACGACCUCGAUGUUGAAUUAUUUAACUUAAAUGGCGCAAGAGUCAUACCAGUGGGUCUGUUCGACCUUUAAUUUUUUACAUGAUC
Molecule: ribosomal RNA, 450 nt
Filed under: Chrysometa zelotypa
Lineage: Eukaryota; Metazoa; Arthropoda; Arachnida; Araneae; Tetragnathidae
Description: partial small subunit ribosomal RNA
Source: RNAcentral